Long non-coding RNA from Nycticebus coucang (slow loris), 1947 nucleotides. RefSeq lists it as uncharacterized. Lineage: Eukaryota; Metazoa; Chordata; Mammalia; Primates; Lorisidae. The record is from RefSeq and is a predicted model, not a curated record. The transcript is spliced from 5 exons.
CUUUUUUUUAUUACCCUCAUUUUGUUCCUCCAACAACGGAGAGGGGAAACAGGGCGACAGGCAAUCUGUGUGCAAUUUUUGUCUCUGCUGUUGCUACCUUUCCAUGUGACCCUGCGCAGGUCACAUCCCAAACUGAGGGUUAUCAUUAAGGAUUCUCCUUGCUGAAGGAUCUGUGAGGCCGUGUGGCUUCCUCUUGAGGAAGAAAUGGAAGACGUAGGUUAUAUACGACUUCAAGCAGGGAGAAGAAAGAAAGAGCUAUUUGAGCAAUGCUUCACUUCCAGAGCAGAGAGAGGACAGACCCCUCUCCGGCAGCCCGAUGACUGCUGCCAGUGGUCCCAAGGGAUAGAGAAGAGAUGAACCAAGAAGGAAAUAGAAAGGAAAGCCUUGAGGAAAACUGAGGGUUGAAUUUGCCCGCCUCGAGAUUCUGGAUUGGGCAAUUUGGAUCGCAAAUUGUAUAAUGUAGAAAGGACUGAUUGUUUAUUCUGUUCCAAUGAUAAUGUUGACAACAAGUUGGAUUAGAGUGCCCUGAAGAUAAAAAUUGGUAGGCAUUUGCCAGUUGGAAAAAAUAGCAGAAAGAGCAUGUCAGGCACAGGACAUAGCACAAGCCACGGUCUGGAGUAGAAAUGUCUGUGCUGUGUUCAGGUACAGGCCAAGAAAUGUUUUAGAGAGAUUAAUCUGGAUCUGGAUGGCUUGUGCAGCAUAGGAGGAAGCAAAGAGGUGUCGUCAUAAGUAAUCUUCCAAGUGCACGUGCCGGAAGUGACCAUUUCCAUGUAUCCUCCAACUCCCUGCCAUGUAAGUUUUCAUGGUAUGCGUGUGUGCACUCUGUUUCAUUGUCUGCCAAAUAGCAGGUGGCCCUGUCUCAAGGAAGUUCCUGCUCUGUGUUGGGAGAUAAGAAUUUGGCCUUCUGUGUGAGUGGGCUCUGAACAGUAAGUCUCCAGCUACCCUGAGACAGCCUUUGGCUUGCCACCGCCAACCCUAUUCCAGGUUCUUAGGCAACGAGUCAGAGCUGACACUGGCCCCCAGCCCCUCCUUGCUUUACUUGAUGUGCCAAAAGUUCACACAUCAAGUGACACAGCCUCAAUGGUUGUUUCCCUUUCUCUAACAUAUUGCUUUGGAAAUGAUUUUGUAAAUUAAAGAAAAAAGGUUGGAUGGUGUGUACUAUGAGAUGUUGCGUGACAAAUUCAUGUCAAGAAAAAUACCACCACAAUAGCAUCUCACACCACUUGGUAGUAACGUUUCUGCAUUUUAAACGAAAAUUCAGUAGGCAUAUUUUUAACUUCAUAUUAUGAAAUAAUUUCAAAUUUAUAGAAGAGAUGAAAGAAUAGCACAACAAAUUCUAUAUACUCUUCUCUCAUAGUCCCCCAAUGUUAACAUUUUUACCAUAUUCUCUUUCUACAGAUAUAUAAAGGGGGUUUUGUUUGUUUUUCUGAACUGUCUGUGAGUAUGCUGUAGAUAGACUAUCCCAUUAGCCCCCAAUACUUCAGGAUGUAUUUUCUGAAAACACGGGUUUUCUCUUAAGGUAACUGCAGUAUAAUUAGCAAAAUCAGCAAAUUAAUAUUGAUAUAAUAUUAAUGCUAAUCUGCAGGCAUUAUUCAGAUUUCACCAUUUGUCUCACUAAAGGACUUUUUUUCUCCCCUCCCCUUGGUUGGUGGAGGCUGUUAAUAGUCCUUUCUCUGGUGGGACUGGCUUUAUUCUGAUGGUAUUCUCUCAAUUUUUGAUGUUAAAAUAUACUUUCUUUAAUGAGAAAAUAGUAUUUUUAUUAGCCUUUUACAGUACUUAUUAGGAAAAAUUAAAGAUGUCAUGCUCAUAUCAUUCCUCUAGUUUCAUUAAUUCAUUCAUUAUCUGAGUUUAAAAACCACUGAUGUAAUUUAAUCCUCCAUGGUUGGACAUUUAAAUUGUUUCCAGAUUUUCAAAAUUCAAACAUUGUUGCAGUAAACAAACUUAUAA